This 1829-nucleotide long non-coding RNA is filed under the name Sus scrofa (pig). RNAcentral's name for it is "lncRNA (ENSSSCG00070026419.1)". Lineage: Eukaryota; Metazoa; Chordata; Mammalia; Artiodactyla; Suidae. The record is from RNAcentral.
CACUUUGGGUUCAUGUCUGGGAGGGGGCGGGGGCGGGGGGCCUGCAGGGUGUGUUGGGUGGUUUUUUGAUAUGUAUGAAACUGACAUCUUGGCAAACCCCAUCCCCUCCCAAGCCCACUGUCACCCACUCACCCACUGUCUAUCCCAUGGAGAGUCCCCUAGCCUGACCUUGGGAUCCAGCCCUUGCUGUGGACUAGGGAGACCUCCCCAGUAGAUGCAAGUUGCCCCAUUUCUCCCUUUGGAUGAGGGCACCAGACCCCAGGCGGGGUGGAGAGGGAGGUAUGGAGAGGGAGCACCCGUCCAGCCCCUGGAAGAGACCACACACAGGGUCCCCAACCCCCACUCUGGCUUCUCCAACGGUACUUUGACUCCAGUGUAGGGCUAGAGUAUACAUAUACAUAUAUAUAUAUAAUUUUGGACUUUCUUUUCUCGUACUACAGAUUAUACAGUGGCUACUUUUUAUUUUGGCCUGGAUUCUCUCUGAGGCCGACUUUUCCCCUGCAUCCUCCUGUCUUUCCGUUUCUGCCCCUUUGGACACUUCCUGAGAGUCUCAACUCCAAACUGACACCUCCUCCCCACCCCCACCCCCUCCCCCGCGUCCAUCCAUCCCUAAGCAUUUCAGAGCGUGUGGGGUCCGAGCUGGCCCGGAGGCCCACCCCCCACCCACCCUCUCCCCCCAAGCGAGACGGGGGAGACAGACCCAAAGCAAUCCCAGCAGGACUUGUUGCCAGCGAUACCAAAACAGUCUUUUCCCAAGCAGUGCCUCACAUGUCUGCUGGUGUGGCUUUGGGGUUCUCCUCCCCCACUCCCUGGGGGUCCCCCAGGCCUCAGGAAAGAGGAGGCGGGAUCCAGCAGGACUAAGGGCUCCAGGAGAGGAAGAAAGUCACACACGCCCAAGCCACCACUCUCCCUGCAGCCCUUGCUUCACACCACCUGGCUAGAAGGGGACCCACUGGAAAGGGGUCGGGGCCACCUCAGCCCCCCUCCAGUUGUGAACCCCCAAAGCCCAUUCCCCAAAUGCAUCAACACCCCAUCCUCCCACCUCAGGUCCCAGCCAGGCCCCCCUGAAACCAAAGCCCCUUCAAAUCCAGGGGUCCUGGCCUCUUCCCCCUCCCAGAACCGCACGUGGGGACAGAAAGGCAGAGUGCCUGAGGAUAGAACGCAGGUCGUGGGGGGCAGUGGUGGGUUGGUGGGGAGAGAGGGAGAGACCCAUUUUCCUCUCUGAACUUUCUUUCCUCUUUUUUCUUCAUCUCUUUUCUUUCUAAGAUUUUUUAGUGGUGUUGCUGUUCAUUCUUUUCCCUCAGAUAUUUUUUGAGUUUUUUUUCCCCAUUUUGUAUUUUACCAAUAUUACCAGGAUAGUUUACUCUCUGUUUCUCGCUUUCUGCUUGCUGCACACAAUGGAUAAACACACACACACACACAGACACACACACACACACACACACCCAUGCUCAUGAACCCAUGUCAUGAGAAGGUUCGGGCCAGGCCCACUACCCACCUUGUGCCCCUCCUCCUCCCUAAGGUGGGGACAGGAUGGGGGACCAGGGGACGUGGGGCAGAGCCAGGCCCAGCCUUCUCCUGGCCCGGCUCCCCCGCCCUGCUCCUUCACAUCAUACUCCGAUCAUAACCUUGUAUAUUAAGCAGUCAUUUCGGUUUUCCGCGGACGCGCCUACCUAAGUACCAUUUACAGAAAGUGACUCUGGCUGUUAUUAUUUUGUUUGUUUGUUUCCCUAUGCAAAAAAAAAAAAAUGAAAAAAAGAAAAAAAAUGAAAGGGGGGUUCCAUAAAAGAUUCAAUAAAAGGCAAAAAAAAAGAAAAAAGAAAAAAUGU